AACGAACGCUGGCGGCAGGCUUAACACAUGCAAGUCGAGCGCCCCGCAACGGGAGCGACAGACGGGUGAGUAACGAGCGGGAACGUACCUUUCGUUCCGUUACAACCACGGCUAACAGACGCUAACUCCGAACAGACACUCACGGGGAAAGAUUUAUUGCCGAAAGAUCGGCCCGCGUCUGAUUAGCUAGUUGGUGAGGUAACGGCCCACCAAGGCGACGAUCAGUAGCUGGUCUGAGAGGAUGAUCAGCCACACUGGGACUGAGACACGGCCCAGACUCCUACGGGAGGCAGCAGUGGGGAAUAUUGGACAAUGGGCGCAAGCCUGAUCCAGCCAUGCCGCGUGAGUGAUGAAGGCCUUAGGGUUGUAAAGCUCUUUUGUCCGGGAAGAUAAUGACGGUACCGGAAGAAUAAGCCCCGGCUAACUUCGUG
RNAcentral lists this ribosomal RNA (431 nucleotides) under uncultured bacterium. RNAcentral describes it as "partial 16S ribosomal RNA". It matches the Rfam family "Bacterial small subunit ribosomal RNA", at positions 29 to 507 of the family's 1533-position model. The record is from RNAcentral.